UACGGAGGGUGCAAGCGUUACUCGGAAUCACUGGGCGUAAAGGGUGCGUAGGCGGGUUAUCAAGUCUCGAGUGAAAUCCAACGGCUUAACCGUUGAACUGCUUGGGAAACUGGUAGCCUAGAGUGAGGGAGAGGCAGAUGGAAUUGGUGGUGUAGGGGUAAAAUCCGUAGAGAUCACCAGGAAUACCCAUUGCGAAGGCAGCUCACUAGGUUACAACUGACGCUGAUGCACGAAAGCGUGGGGAU
RNAcentral lists this ribosomal RNA (245 nucleotides) under uncultured Sulfurospirillum sp. Its description in RNAcentral is "partial 16S ribosomal RNA". It matches the Rfam family "Bacterial small subunit ribosomal RNA", at positions 524 to 768 of the family's 1533-position model. Lineage: Bacteria; Pseudomonadati; Campylobacterota; Epsilonproteobacteria; Campylobacterales; Sulfurospirillaceae. The record is from RNAcentral.